CCUACGGGUGGCAGCAGUGGGGAAUAUUGCGCAAUGGGCGAAAGCCUGACGCAGCGACGCCGCGUGAGGGAUGAAGGUCCUCGGAUUGUAAACCUCUGUCAGCAGGGAAGAACGGUCACUGUGCUAUUCAGCAGUGAAUUGACGGUACCUGCAAUGGAACCACCGGCUAACUCCGUCCCAGCAGCCGCGGUAAGACGGAGGGUGCGAGCUUUAAUCGGUAUUACUGGGCGUAAGGGGCUCGUAGGUUGUAUGUCAAGUCUAGGGGGAAAUCCUCGGGCUCAACGUGGGAACUGCCUUUGAAACUGGCAAACUGGAGUGUGUGAGAGGAAAGUGGAAUGCCUGGUGUAGGAGUGAAAUGCGUAGAUAUCGGGAGGAACAUCAGUGGCGAAGGCGAGUAUCUGGAACAUAACUGACGCUGAGGAGCGAAAGCGUGGGGAGCAAACAGGAUUAGAUACCCUAGUAGUC
This 465-nucleotide ribosomal RNA is filed under the name uncultured bacterium. Its description in RNAcentral is "partial 16S ribosomal RNA". It matches the Rfam family "Bacterial small subunit ribosomal RNA", at positions 338 to 795 of the family's 1533-position model. The record is from RNAcentral.